This 84-nucleotide microRNA precursor is filed under the name Bombyx mori (domestic silkworm). RNAcentral's name for it is "mir-2807 microRNA precursor family". It matches the Rfam family "mir-2807 microRNA precursor family". Lineage: Eukaryota; Metazoa; Arthropoda; Insecta; Lepidoptera; Bombycidae. The record is from Rfam by way of RNAcentral.
UUAACUCAAUUUUAUAUGAACUUGGAACGUUUGCCUACGUUUGCCGCUAGGGGCGCUGUUUCAACUGAAUACAAAUUCGAGUUA